This 497-nucleotide ribosomal RNA is filed under the name uncultured soil bacterium. Its description in RNAcentral is "bacterial SSU rRNA". It matches the Rfam family "Bacterial small subunit ribosomal RNA", at positions 26 to 525 of the family's 1533-position model. The record is from RNAcentral.
AGAUUGAACGCUAGCGGGAUGCUUUACACAUGCAAGUCGAACGGCAGCGCGGACUUCGGUCUGGCGGCGAGUGGCGAACGGGUGAGUAAUAUAUCGGAACGUGCCCAGUCGUGGGGGAUAACGCAGCGAAAGCUGCGCUAAUACCGCAUACGAUCUAUGGAUGAAAGCGGGGGGACCUAAGGCCUCGCGCGAUUGGAGCGGCCGAUAUCAGAUUAGGUAGUUGGUGGGGUAAAGGCUCACCAAGCCAACGAUCUGUAGCUGGUCUGAGAGGACGACCAGCCACACUGGGACUGAGACACGGCCCAGACUCCUACGGGAGGCAGCAGUGGGGAAUUUUGGACAAUGGGCGCAAGCCUGAUCCAGCAAUGCGCGUGCAGGAAGAAGGCCUUCGGUUGUAACUGCUUUGUACGGAACGAACGUCCUGGUUAACUACUGGGCUAAUGACGGUACCGUAAGAAUAAGCGACCGCUAACUACGUGCCAGCAGCCGCGGUAACG